AUGGAGAUGAAGAAGCGUGCCUCUAGCAACAAGAAGACGAGGUUCGCGGCUGUACCCGUGACCUCUAAGCUCGUUAAGAGGAGCGGCUAUGGCCCGCCCAUUGGAUCCGAGAACCAUGUUGAGUCUGGUCCGGACCGCAUCAGCGAUCUCCUGGACGCCAUCCUCGGCGAGAUCAUCUCUCGUCUUCCCAUAAAGGAAGGCAUCCGCACACAAGUGCUCGCAUCUCGGUGGCGCCGCAUAUGGCGCACUGGCACAUGA
This 258-nucleotide ribosomal RNA is filed under the name Triticum aestivum (bread wheat). Its description in RNAcentral is "partial small subunit ribosomal RNA". Lineage: Eukaryota; Viridiplantae; Streptophyta; Magnoliopsida; Poales; Poaceae. The record is from RNAcentral.